Molecule: ribosomal RNA, 441 nt
Filed under: uncultured bacterium
Lineage: Bacteria
Description: partial 16S ribosomal RNA
Rfam family: Bacterial small subunit ribosomal RNA
Source: RNAcentral
CCUACGGGUGGCAGCAGUGGGGGAUAUUGCACAAUGGGGGGAACCCUGAUGCAGCGACGCCGCGUGGGUGAAGGAGCGUUUCGGCGCGUAAAGCCCUGUCAGCAGGGAAGAAGGAGGACGGUACCUGACUAAGAAGCCCCGGCUAACUACGUGCAAGCAGCGGCGGUAAUAGGUAGGGGGAAAGAGUUAUCCGGAUUACCUGGGGGUAAAGGGGGCGCGGACGGCAGGGCAAGCCAGGGGUGAAGGCCCGGGGCCCAACCCCGGGACUGCUCUUGGAACUGCGCGGCUGGAGUGCAGGAGGGGCAGGCGGAAUUCCUGGUGUAGCGGUGAAAUGCGUAGAUAUCAGGAGGAACACCGGUGGCGAAGGCGGCCUGCUGGACUGCGACUGACGUUGAGGCCCGAAAGCGUGGGGAGCAAACAGGAUUAGAUACCCCAGUAGUC